Molecule: ribosomal RNA, 513 nt
Filed under: uncultured bacterium
Lineage: Bacteria
Description: partial 16S ribosomal RNA
Rfam family: Bacterial small subunit ribosomal RNA
Source: RNAcentral
GAUGAACGCUGGCGGCGUGCCUAAUACAUGCAAGUCGAGCGAACAGACGAGGAGCUUGCUCCUCUGACGUUAGCGGCGGACGGGUGAGUAACACGUGGAUAACCUACCUAUAAGACUGGGAUAACUUCGGGAAACCGGAGCUAAUACCGGAUAAUAUAUUGAACCGCAUGGUUCAAUAGUGAAAGACGGUUUUGCUGUCACUUAUAGAUGGAUCCGCGCCGCAUUAGCUAGUUGGUAAGGUAACGGCUUACCAAGGCAACGAUGCGUAGCCGACCUGAGAGGGUGAUCGGCCACACUGGAACUGAGACACGGUCCAGACUCCUACGGGAGGCAGCAGUAGGGAAUCUUCCGCAAUGGGCGAAAGCCUGACGGAGCAACGCCGCGUGAGUGAUGAAGGUCUUCGGAUCGUAAAACUCUGUUAUUAGGGAAGAACAAAUGUGUAAGUAACUAUGCACGUCUUGACGGUUCCUAAUCAGAAAGCCACGGCUAACUACGUGCCAGCAGCCGCCGCCG